CCUUCCUGACUAUAGAGUCCAAGCAGGCCGCAGCCAGUACAGCACCCACCAGUGAGGAAGACCUGUGUCCUAUCUGCUAUGCACACUCCAUCUCUGCUGUCUUCAAACCCUGCUCUCACAAGUCCUGCAAAGCGUGUAUAAAUCAGCACCUGAUGAACAACAAGGAUUGUUUCUUCUGCAAGGCCACCAUCACUGGAGUGGAGGACUACAGCAAGCCAUCUUAACACCUCAUACACACGCACACACACACACACUAGGCUCGGACAACAGCAACCACGUUGAACACACACCUGAGAGACCCUAGAUGCACUCUCUCACACAGAGCAUACAGGUACACACACACACAUACACACGCACUACCACUCACCUCAUCAAGCACAAUGUUCCCUCACUUUGUCCCCUGACAUGUUGUAAACUCUCCGUAUUGAUCACCAGACCAGAAGGUCUAGCCAGAAAACAGACAGGAACAGACACUUCUACUACACCAGCGUUGUUACUCCGACAGCUCCACAGAUAACUCCCCUCUCUCCUCCC
Non-coding RNA from Salvelinus sp. IW2-2015, 534 nucleotides. The record is from RefSeq and is a predicted model, not a curated record. Lineage: Eukaryota; Metazoa; Chordata; Actinopteri; Salmoniformes; Salmonidae.